AAGAGCCGUGUGAAUCGAGAGGUUCACGCACGGUUCUGUGAGGGCCUCGGGGUUGAAAUUCCCCGGGGCUACUCGAC
This 77-nucleotide non-coding RNA is filed under the name Edaphobacter modestus. Lineage: Bacteria; Pseudomonadati; Acidobacteriota; Terriglobia; Terriglobales; Acidobacteriaceae. The record is from RNAcentral.